AUGGCCCUCGCCACCGCCGCGGCCGCCGCGGCCAUCUCCAUCCACCCAUUCCUCAGCCGCCCGGCCAGCGUGCUCCGGUGCGGCCGCCGCGUCCCGCCGCUCCUCCUCCUCCGCGCUACCUCCUCGGCCUCCUCCGCCUCGGACUUCAACAUCACCUUCGCGGAGCCCGCGCCCGCCCCGUCCAAGCGCUCGCCCGGCGGCCCGUCCGCGCAGCCGCUGGUUCCGUGGAUCGCGCGCGGGGCCGACGGCAAGCCAUCCCUCCACACCUCGCCGCCGCCGGACGUCCUCCAGGCCGUCGCCGCCGCGGAGGCGGAGGCCAAGAGGGCCGCCAAGAGGGGCCAGAGGCAGGGCCCCGCCGCCGACGCCCCCGUCGCCAGCGUCAGGGUCAAGGAGAAGAAGGCCUCCCCGACCGCGCCGCCCAAGUUCUCCAAGGCGGCCAGAAGGUUCUACAACGAGAAUAUCAAGGAGCACGAGCCGCAGCGCCUCGCCAAGGUCCUCGCCGCCGCAGGAGUGGCCUCAAGAAGGACCAGCGAGGAGCUCAUCUUCCAAGGGAAGGUGACUGUCAAUGGUUCUGUCUGCACUGCUCCCCAGACCAAAGUAGACAUCUCAAAGGAUUCUAUCUACGUUAACGGGAAUCGCAUUUCCAAGAAGCUGCCUCCAAAGCUCUAUUUUGCUGUGAACAAGCCAAAAGGGUAUAUUUGCUCGUCUGGUGAAGAGAAGUCUGUUAUCUCCUUAUUGGAUGACUAUUUGAAAGGAUGGAACAAACUUCAGCCAGGAGUACCAAAACCCCGCUUGUUUACUGUGGGUCGUCUUGAUGUUGCCACAACUGGUUUGAUAAUAGUUACAAAUGAUGGUGAAUUUGCCCAGAAAGUCUCACACCCUUCUUCAAACAUAACAAAGGAAUAUGUAGUAACUAUAGAUGGAGCAGUGCACAAGAAACACCUUGUAGCUAUCAGCGGAGGAACAGUAAUUGAUGGUGUUAAGGUUGUUCCUGAUUUAGUAGAGCCACUGGAUGCCCAAGCUGACACAAAAAGGACGCGACUUAAAAUAGUGGUUCAUGAAGGAAGAAACCACGAAGUUCGUGAACUUGUGCAGAAUGCAGGACUAAAGGUCUACGCUUUGAAACGUGUUCGGAUAGGCAGGUUCCGCCUCCCAUCAGACCUGGGAAUUGGGAAGAUGGUUGAACUUAAAGAAGCUGACAUCAAGGCACUAGAUGGCAACAGCUAG
RNAcentral lists this ribosomal RNA (1227 nucleotides) under Triticum aestivum (bread wheat). Its description in RNAcentral is "partial small subunit ribosomal RNA". The record is from RNAcentral. Lineage: Eukaryota; Viridiplantae; Streptophyta; Magnoliopsida; Poales; Poaceae.